UAUGGCGGCCGGCUGAAGGGGAGGUAGGGCCGGGCCCUGUCCGGCCUUGUGCCCCUCACGGGGACCUGGCCGGCCCCAAAGUGCCGGGCUUCACCGUGUCCGGCUGCCCUCCGGCCCUCCCUGAGCCGGGGCUGCUCCUCAGGAAUUUAAUACAGGUAUUUAAUACAGCAGCGGGCAUGGCUCAGCAUUGCUGUCAAUACAGGCUUCAAACAGCAAAGCUCGGCGGUCCGAGGCAGCGCUCCCCAUCGCCGAACCGCCCAGCAAUGCGAAAUGGAGCGUGUUGUGCCCGCCAGGUGUCGUUGGCACCCGGGUGGCAGCAUGUUGUCGAGCAAGCAUAAAAAUGCACCUUGCACUCACCUUUCGGGGAAGCUGAUUCUUUCACUCAGUUGGCAGCAGACCUGCACCAUCAGCACAUUGGAGGAAAACAUGCUGUAGACUCCUGGGUUGUAUCUUCCCCCAAGGACAGCUUUGGCAAGAAGGCAGCUCUGAAGUCAGACGUCGAACUGAUCCAUAAUGUUCGGUGACGGGCUGAACCGGCAGACUUGACAACAGUGGACUGCCUUAGUCCUUAAGAAAAGGACCUGCUCUACAGCUGGCUGGAGGAAGGCGUGGUUCCCUGCAGUCUUCUGUUCCAGAAUAAAACAAAGUAUUGAAACUGU
Cygnus atratus (black swan) is the source of this 659-nucleotide long non-coding RNA. RefSeq lists it as uncharacterized. The record is from RefSeq and is a predicted model, not a curated record. The transcript is spliced from 5 exons. NCBI's taxonomy places the organism in Eukaryota, Metazoa, Chordata, Aves, Anseriformes, Anatidae.